CUUAUCCUCUUGUUCCGCUCGUCCCUCACUCCUUCCCCAAAUCAUCUUCACACGGGCGCGCGUCUCGGCCACACGAGCUCCCACACGCACCGCCCUCUCCCAAGCGCUGCGCUUCUCGGCCUCGUCGCGCGGUGCGCCUGCUCCCUGUGCCGCCACUGCAGCAGGGCGUCAUCGGCGGGAGACCCGGGCAGAGCGCUGCGGUCCGCAGAGGUAGCGAGAGGACCGGACCAGCGACUCACGUAGGCAGCGGCAGGACGUGCAUGGCCGGCAUGGAGGCAUGGACCUGCUCGUCGCUGCAGCCGACAACAAGGGCGUCGGCCCCUUCCGUCGCGCGGGAAGCAGAUCGAAGGCGAUUCUGCCGGCCUCCCACUCCGGCGCCGCCCCUCCAGCGCGCGGAGAAAGCAAAUCGAAGGCCUACGAGCACGGCCUGACACCCAGCCAACCCGACGGAAAGCUUACAGGCUCUCACUGGGCCUCCACUCUCCUAAUUGUUCGCUACUCCGACUGCUAUCUCAUCCGCUGGGAAUGGACAAGACAGGAAGGGAAAAGAAGGUCGCUCCCAUGCUCGUUUCUGGGGAAGCGCCAUGGACGCAGCAGACGCCGUGGUUGAGCUUCCUGGAAGCCGCCGAGAGGAUGGACGGCGUACGUGGUCGAGCUCCGCCGGGAACGCAUCACGCCGUGGUGUACUAAUCUGGUGAUAAGUGUUGAUGUACAUCGUUCAGGUUGGGGAAUGAUUUGGAGAUUUUGACCGGUCAGGCCUA
Non-coding RNA from Lolium perenne, 761 nucleotides. NCBI's taxonomy places the organism in Eukaryota, Viridiplantae, Streptophyta, Magnoliopsida, Poales, Poaceae. The record is from RefSeq and is a predicted model, not a curated record.